GUCCGAGAUAGCAAAGUUGAGGCUGGAAGGCAAAGUCGCCAUCAUCACCGGCGCCGCCAGCGGGAUCGGCGAGGCCGCCGCCAGGCUCUUCGCCUCCCAUGGCGCCCUCAUCGUCAUCGCCGACGUCCAGGACGAUCUCGGCCGCUCCGUCGCCGCCUCCAUCGGAGCUGACAAGUGCAGCUACUACCACUGCGACGUCCGGGACGAGAAGCAAAUUGAGGCGACGGUGGAGUACACCAUCAACACCUACAACCGCUUCGACAUCCUCUACUGUAACGCCGGCAUCCUCGGCACCGCCCACAGCAUAUUAGAUGCGAGCAUGGAGGAGUGGGAUGAGAUGUUUGCUGUGAAUGUUCGCGGAGUCGCUGCUGCAAUCAAACAUGCCGGGCGGGCGAUGGUGGCGCGGGGGACCAGAGGGUCUAUUGUGUGUACGGCGAGCCUGGCGGCUUUCCGGGGAGGGCAUGGAGUGGCGUCGUAUACGUCGGCGAAGCAUGCGGUGCUGGGGUUGGUGCGGGCGGCGGCGGGUGAGCUUGGGGUGCAUGGGAUAAGGGUGAACUGUGUGUCGCCGUCGGCGGUGGCGACGCCGCUGGGAUGUAAGCUGAAUGGGUGGAGUCAGAGUAAGUUGGAGGAGUAUGGGUCGGCCGUGGCGAGCUUGAAGGGGGUGGUGCUGAAGGCGAAGGAUAUUGCUGAGGCGGCGCUGUUUCUGGCGGCCGACGAGGCGGCGUUCAUCACCGGACAUAAUCUGGUGGUGGACGGAGGGAGGACGGUGGUGAGUGCGAGGAUCCAGCAGUACUAUGAUGAGUGAUUGUUGGUCUGAGUUUUGUGAUUAUGGCUUCGAAUAAAUGAAAUUGUGAACAUUUUAUUUGAGUAUAUUGAGAUUGGAG
Molecule: unclassified non-coding RNA, 884 nt
Filed under: Hevea brasiliensis (rubber tree)
Lineage: Eukaryota; Viridiplantae; Streptophyta; Magnoliopsida; Malpighiales; Euphorbiaceae
Source: RNAcentral